AAUGAACGCUGGCGGCGUGCCUAAUACAUGCAAGUCGAGCGAACAGACGAGGAGCUUGCUCCUCUGACGUUAUCGGCGGACGGGUGAUGAACACGUGUAUAACCUACCUAUAAGACUGGGAUAACUUCGGGAAACCGGAUCUAAUACCGGAUAACAUGUUGAACCUCAUGGUUCAACAGUGAAAGACGGUCUUGCUGUCACUUAUAGAUGGAUCCGCGCCGCAUUAGCUAGUUGGUAAGGUAACGGCUUACCAAGGCAACGAUGCGUAGCCGACCUGAGAGGGUGAUCGGCCACACUGGAACUGAGACACGGUCCAGACUCCUACGGGAGGAAGCAGUAGGGAAUCUUCCGCAAUGGGCGAAAUCCUGACGGAGCAACGCCGCGUGAGUGAAGAAGGUCUUCGGAUCGUAAAACUCUGUUAUUAGGGAAGAACAAAUGUGUAAGUAACCAUGCACGUCUUGACGGUACCUAAUCAGAAAGCCACGGCUAACUACGUG
Molecule: ribosomal RNA, 497 nt
Filed under: uncultured bacterium
Lineage: Bacteria
Description: partial 16S ribosomal RNA
Rfam family: Bacterial small subunit ribosomal RNA
Source: RNAcentral